CAAGCAGUGGAGUAUGUGGUUUAAUUCGAAGCAACGCGAAGAACCUUACCAGGUCUUGACAUCCCGAUGUAACGCCUAGAGAUAGGCGCCCUCUUCGGAGCAUUGGAGACAGGUGGUGCAUGGUUGUCGUCAGCUCGUGUCGUGAGAUGUUGGGUUAAGUCCCGCAACGAGCGCAACCCUUGAUCUUAGUUGCCAGCAUGUUAUGGUGGGCACUCUAAGAUGACUGCCGGUGACAAACCGGAGGAAGGUGGGGAUGACGUCAAAUCAUCAUGCCCCUUAUGACCUGGGCUACACACGUACUACAAUGGUCGGUACAACGGGAAGCGAAGCCGCGAGGUGGAGCGAAUCCUUAUAAGCCGAUCUCAGUUCGGAUUGCAGGCUGCAACUCGCCUGCAUGAAGUCGGAAUUGCUAGUAAUCGCGGAUCAGCAUGCCGCGGUGAAUACGUUCCCGGGUCUUGUACACACCGCCCGUCACACCACGAGAGUUUACAACACCCGAAGUCGGUGGGGUAACCCGCAA
This 520-nucleotide ribosomal RNA is filed under the name Paenibacillus sp. W9R23B. RNAcentral describes it as "bacterial SSU rRNA". It matches the Rfam family "Bacterial small subunit ribosomal RNA", at positions 926 to 1444 of the family's 1533-position model. Lineage: Bacteria; Bacillati; Bacillota; Bacilli; Caryophanales; Paenibacillaceae. The record is from RNAcentral.